AAUGUGUAGCAAAAGACAGA
This 20-nucleotide microRNA is filed under the name Homo sapiens (human). RNAcentral's name for it is "hsa-miR-511-3p". Its record names the gene hsa-miR-511-3p. The record is from miRBase by way of RNAcentral. Lineage: Eukaryota; Metazoa; Chordata; Mammalia; Primates; Hominidae.